UCUAGAUUAGAGUUUGAUCAUGGCUCAGGACGAACGCUGGCGGCGUGCUUACACAUGCAAGUCGAACGAUGAACACUUCGGUGGGGAUUAGUGGCGAACGGGUGAGUAACACGUGGGCAAUCUGCCCUUCACUCUGGGACAGCCCUGGAAACGGGGUCUAAUACCGGAUACCACUACCGCAGGCAUCUGUGGUGGUUGAAAGCUCCGGCGGUGAAGGAUGAGCCCGCGGCCUAUCAGCUUGUUGGUGAGGUAACGGCUCACCAAGGCGACGACGGGUAGCCGGCCUGAGAGGGCGACCGGCCACACUGGGACUGAGACACGGCCCAGACUCCUACGGGAGGCAGCAGUGGGGAAUAUUGCACAAUGGGCGAAAGCCCGAUGCAGCGACGCCGCGUGAGGGAUGACGGCCUUCGGGUUGUAAACCUCUUUCAGC
This 433-nucleotide ribosomal RNA is filed under the name Streptomyces canus. RNAcentral describes it as "bacterial SSU rRNA". It matches the Rfam family "Bacterial small subunit ribosomal RNA", at positions 1 to 440 of the family's 1533-position model. The record is from RNAcentral. Lineage: Bacteria; Bacillati; Actinomycetota; Actinomycetes; Kitasatosporales; Streptomycetaceae.